Equus quagga is the source of this 8877-nucleotide long non-coding RNA. RefSeq lists it as uncharacterized. The record is from RefSeq and is a predicted model, not a curated record. The transcript is spliced from 4 exons. Lineage: Eukaryota; Metazoa; Chordata; Mammalia; Perissodactyla; Equidae.
GGAACAGGAAAGUCCUGCCAGGCGCAGGGCAGCCCCCACCCCCCCCUCAACCCCCCACUGAUGGUGGCCGUGCUGGCGGGCAGGCUUGCCGGAUCUUUUGAUUUUUCUAAAGAAGCUGAAACUCGAGAUUUUCUCGUAGAAUCUCCUGGUUUUUAUAGGCGAGCAACUGAUUCAAACACCAAACUUAGAAAACAGCUGGCGAGCCAGCCGCACAGAGAGGAUCAGUGGGGGCGGCGCUGCGGGCUCCCCUCGCGGGGAGGGAGGUGACCCUCGUGAGCUCCGGCACCGGCACUGCAGCAGGAGGAGAAGGGACCGUGGGCCUGGAGGCUGCACCCAGCCGCCCUGCAGCGACGCGGGGCGUUUCCAGAGAGGGACACGCGACGCACAGCAGGCCGCCGCCCCCUGCUCUCGUCCUCCCCGUGAGUGCUGGCUCCGGGGGCUCCUCAGCCCGCGGACGGGAAGGCUGACUCAGUGUGAACCUUCUGGAUUCCUGCCCCCACCACUCCGUCCCCCGUGCCCGGAGCCCCAGCGUCCAGCGAUUCCGGCUAAUCGUUUUCAGAUGGAUCCCGUGCGUGAUCUGCGGGUUCACAGAGCUGUCUUCACGUCACUGGUCCAGUGACCGCCAGGCGUGAGUGAAGAUGCCAGAGUGAAGAUGAGCAGAAGAAGGUGCCUCUGAGAGGGCGACCAGCCUGAGGUCACACAGUCCGGCCAUGGAGACCCACUGAGCGCCCGCCGGUGCGCGCUGGGGACACAGCGCUCAGCAGAGGCAUCCUGUGUUCCAGGUGAUGACACCCGGGCCCCUCUGAGAGCACAAGGGACGGUCCCGAGGCCACCAGCUCCUCCGCAAGAGGACCGAGACGUAAAGGGGCGUCCUGACUCCUCCGCGAGCCUCCAGGCGGAAGAAGCAGCCUGGAUCCCACGGCAGGUCCCGCGGAAUCUCCAAAACGCAGGCCCGUGUUCCGUGUGUGACGAUGAGACUGAGCCGUGGAUGGAAACCUCUGGAGCCAGGACCCUGGCGGCGAAGGAUGAAAAGCUCACCCCCUCACCCCCAGUGUAGACAGGAGGAUUUAGUGGGCCAUGUAACUGGAAAGUUUUAAGGGAGCGUGACUUCAGCAAUGGCUGGAUCCAGGGCCCCAAAGACCCCAGGAGGACCCUCUUCCUCUCCCGGUCCUGCUUGCGUUCACAGGGUGACGGAAGCGCCCCAGGGACGCAGCUUAUGUCCCUCCAGCUCGGCAGGCUCCACAGAGAACGCAUCUCUGCUCCAGCCAUUUCAGUGGACGUUGCAGAGCUGACUCCCCUCCGUCCACAUCAGGCCACAGGGCCAUGCCCGAGCCAGUCACUGUGCUCAGGGGACGCUCUGCUGGCGGGCUGUCCCGGGAGCCCGCGCUGUUGGGACCUCUCCUCCUCCUCCCCCGGGCUGAAACUGGGAGCCAGGUGGCCCCCAAGGAAACAAGGAGAUGAGAAAGCCAGGAUGAGGAGGCGAGGACGCCCCUGCAGGCCCCCGGGCCCGUGGGUGUGGGAGACCAGGUGGCCUGGCACCAGAAGGUGGGCAGAGGGGUGGGCGCGGGGCGGAGGCGCGAGGGGCCUGGGCACCGGCUGCGGCCUCCUUCCCUGGCCUCCCCUGCUCCUCCCGCCGUAAACAGCCCCUCCGCAUCGCCGUGGGGCCGGAGAUAAACUGCGAGUGAAAUAGAAAACAUCGUGCGUCAUGGCGCUUCCACUCUCCGUGGUAGACGGUCAACAAAAUAAAUACGUAAAGUCUAAGCUGUACCAGUCGGGGAUGAAUCUUGGGAAGAAAAACAGAGCAGGGAGGGCGGGAGCGAGCGCAGGGUGGGCGUAACUUUAGAUAGGGAGAGCAGGCCUCCCAGGAAAGGCGCCCUCAGAGUAAACAGCAGGUAAAGAAGUGGACCAGGCAGGAAUCUGGAGGAAGGGUAUUCCGGGAGACAGGAGCAGCCUGUCCAAAGGCCCUGGGGCAGGCGUGUGCUUUGGGGCACAGCCAGGCAACUAGGGAGACCAGAGAGGACGAGAGAGGGGAGAGUGGGAGGAGCUCAGUUUGGAGAACAAUGGAGGGCAUGCGGGCAGAUGUGGAGGGCGCUGUAGCUGCAAUAAGGCUGAGUUUUACUCCGGGGCAGUGGGAUCCAUUGCAGGCGUGCGGGCAGAGGAGUGACGUGCCUGCCUUGGAUUCAGGAGGGCGCAUCUCUUCACUGCGUGGAGAACAGACUGCAGGGGCGAGAGCGGGAGCUGGCCAGAGCCUGCUUAGGGAGAAGGGAUCCUGGCGUCAGCAGUUUCUCGGGUACUGCUGACAGGGUCCACCGACGGAGCAGACACGGGGUGUGCAAGACUGAGGGGUCCACACGGCCCUGGGGGCCCCAGCUCCUGCCUCGGCCCGGCCGGGUCAGCCUGACGCUGGGACUCUGAGCCACCGCGCAGCCCGGCCCCCGGCCUUUGCGGGGUCCCCUCCCCCUCCCGGCUUGGCUGCCCAGACCGUCUGUCUAUUUCUCAGACGGACAGACCAUCCCACUGCUUCUGUUACCUCCGCAGCUCAGAUGGCGAGAAACGGGACACCCAGAAGCUUCUAGAAGUCAGCUGAAUUCGGUUUUGAGCCCUGUUCUGUGGAAACAGAGCCAUGGGGCGUCUGGGAUCUCCCCGCUCUCCUCCCACCACGUCCCAGGGAUGGGGUCCGGUUGCGGCACUCGGGGCAGCAACAGUCUGGGGCCCUUGGCAAAAGGUCCCCGAAGAAGUCCUCAGGGUGCCCCGGUCCCUCCCGCCCCUGGUCCUGGGCUGGCUUCAGCCGCACUGGCCUGCUCUCUGUUGCCCAGACACACAAAUGAGCACCUGCCUCAGGGCCUUCUCACCUGCGGCCCUUGCUCCAUCCACCCGCAUCACUUCACCUCACUCCUGCUCAGCAUCAGGGCCCCAGAGGGUCUCAUCUCUGCCCUAGUGCAGUCGAGCCCCCAGCUCUGCUCCCCCCUGCCUCCUGGAACCGGUCCUGACACUCGUCACAUCUGGAGGGAGAGGCAGGCAGCACAGUGGUGAGAGCACAGACCCCGGCGCAAUCCUGGCUCUCUCCCUGAAGAGCAGUGUGACCUUGACUGAGUCCCUGACCUCUCGCAGCCUCGUCUAUAACGUGAGGAUACGGAUGGUGGCACCUGCGGGGGUGUCGGGAGGCUACGGGGGGCCCUGUGGCAGUGCCUGGACGCAGCAUGGGACCCACGAUCCUCGUCAUGUGCGAUUACCGGUCCCCAGGGCGCCGCCCCGCCAGGCUGCAGCUCAGGGGCCGGGCCGGGCUCGCCUUCCCCCGUCGCCCCUGGUUUGCAGGUGCACCUGGGGCUGCACAGAAGGUCCAGGCCAGAGCGGAGGACGAGCAUUGCAUGUGGAUGGACGAUGUUUGAUCCCGAGCCCCGCGGCCCCCGUCCCCUCCCUGCCCCUCCCGCCGGGCUCACCUGACCCCCCGCCUCCCCAGCCUCCUCUCAGCACCGAGCAAUUAAGCCAAACUUUUGAUUUAAGACAUUUAUAAAGGCACCGAGGAUGUCCUCUGGUAUCAGCUUAUAUAUUUCUAAUCUGCCGUUAAAGUGAUUUAAAACGGGGCCGGGUGAAAAUUAAACGUCUCCAUCACCCACGUGUGGCAGCGGCGCCGACAAGGACGCGGGGCCCCUCCACCCUGCCGGGCGGGAACGCGGCUCGCGGCCUUGCUCGCCGGGCGGGCAGGGCUCCGGGCUCAGGGAGCAGCACGCGGGCCGGGGUCUGCAGGAGGAGCCGCCGUGUGCGCGGCGACAUCUGCUCGUCGUGAGCCCUGCUCAGCGGCAGGACACAGGGACCCCGUCCUCGGUGCUGGCAGAGGAGAAAGAAAAGCAGAAGCGGGUGACGAGACUGCAAAUUUGCUGAAGGAGUUUCUUCCUGCCUCCUUUCAGAAACCAGAGGAUGGAAGCUGGCCCCAUCUUCCUUCUCUGGAGGCGAUUUCCAGGGACUCGCUUUCUGGUGGGGGGACAGCUCAGGCCGUCCUUCCCCUCCUCCCCACCCCCGCCUCCCUAAAGCCUGCUCACAGCAGCAGAGUCUGAGGUCAGUGACGGACGAGCGUCCAGGGACGAAAGGCCGUGACUCGGUGCGGCUUUUCGAUCUCCCCGUGAUCUGCUCCCUCGGCCAUAAGUGCCCUGGGCCCCUCCGCCCGCUGACAGGGGCUGCCGCCAAGAAGACACCAGCCCGGGUGGACGCGGGACACCCAGAUGCAUCGGCCAGGGCAGGACCACUGACGGCCGGCCGUGGAGGACACAUCGGCGUUGGCAGGAGUGUUUGGGGGCGGCUGUGAGGGGACAGGGGUGGGUCUGCUGUCCCAUCGCCCCCUGAGAUCCCCCCACCCCAGGGACUGUCCUGAGCCCACCCAGGAAGAUGCUCCUAGGAGCCACUCUCCUCAUCCCCCUGGAAACUGCGGUCCGGAGUCCAGGUGGGAGAGAAGGGGCCUGUGGAGGUCACUUUGAGCCCCCUGGGCGGCAGGAUCGGGUACACAGGUGCAGAGCCCACAGAGGAAGGGCCGGGGUGGGGCUGCCAACAGGAAGUCAGGUACCUGUGGGCGGCAGGUGGAGCAUCGGGGGGCCCGAGGAGGAGAAGAAGCCCCUGGUGGUCACCGCUGCACCCCUGGCGUCCGCGUCCCCACGUCACCCUCUCCCCCUUCCCUGGGCGGCCCUGAGGCUGCCUCUCCUGGCCAGUCAGCCCGUCUCAGAGCCACCGUCUGGAGGGCACUUGGUGGCCACUGGGCAGGUCUGGCCGGGAGGGCGCCGUCCGAGGCCCGAGAGGAGAGACGUUAAUGGCUGACGGGGGUGUCUCAGAGGCUGAGUGGCCCUGCCCACCGCACACUCGUGGCCGUGGGGCGCCUCCCUCCUUCCCAGGCGGUCUCGGGCCGCACUCGGCGCUGAGUUGGGGCUUCUGCCCUCGCGGCCAGGCCACCUCCCGUGGCCGCCUCCGCUGAACAAGGGCCAUGUGUUUUCCCGGCCCGUCCACACAGGGGUCCUUUGAAGCAGCGUCAAUGGGGCUCCACGUCUCCCGCAGCUGAGGGCGGGCGGCCGGGGAGGGGCAGACAUUCAGCCCAGCGCCCCCGCGGCCGGCGGCCUCUCCCCCGGCCCAGCCUGCGCCCGUGUUGCCCGCGCAGGGGAAAGAUGGCCCUGCACGGAGAGCUUUGUUCUUAACACCUACGCGCUUAUUUUCCGUGAACUAGAGAAAAUAUAGCCAGCCCCUCCCGCCCACGCUUUCCCAGCUUUAUUGCUUAGCACGAAGUGACAUCUACUGAUAUUCAAAAGGGGAGUCCUGGAAACUGCUGGAAUGUGCAUCGCAGGUGAAUGGAGAAGUAACUCGUGGCCCGUCCACACCGCGGAAGGCCACCGGCUGUGUGUCCCCGUCCUGAUCCACAGCAGCACGGGUCUGCGGGUGUGCACGGCGGGCUGGGGGCAGGUGCCCGUUCUGAAAGGAGGGAGCCGCCCGUGUGGCACAGAGCCCCCCGCCCCCGGCACCCGUCUGUCUCUGUAUCAGACUGACCGUCCCCAAGAGUGACCCCUAUCUGAGCAGACGCGGGUCCUGACCACUGCAGGACUCGCUGUUUCCUGGAUGCCCGCAGUGCUCCGGCUGGUCCGCUCUGCCUGGAACGCCCACCCCACGUCCCUGUCAAAGCCUGUCUGGUUUUAAAGGUGCAGCUGAAACGCCACGUCCUCCUUUCCCAUUGGAAUCUAAUGCCCCGGCUGCGAGGCAGGCCUUGCUCUCAAGAUGGAAAAUGCAUCCCGGCAGACCCAGCUGAAAGUCCGCGAUGGUUAAUCACCCCAAAUUCCCUCACAACUACUCCUGCCACAGUCCUGGGGUUUCUUCUGACUGGACCAAGGAGGGUCACCUGGUGAUCCCCGAACCAAUCACCGAGGCCACAGGUUUGGACAAUUCUGAUUGGCCAGGCCUCAGUCGCAUGCCCAUCUCUGGACCAAUGGCUGGAACCAGUGUAACCCAAACUGUGUGGUCAGAGGUGAGGGAGGGGUCAUCCAGAGGAAACAGCGCUAUGACCAGGAGAGGCGGCCAAAGCAACUGGUGUUCCCUGGGCCCGCUGAGCAGCUGUGGGACCUCGGGCUGGUGUCUCGGACUUUCUGAUCCUUAGAGUCCUCAGCCAUGAAAUGCGAAUGCUAUAGACCCCCUAGGGUGAGUCAUAGGUGGUCAGUGUGCCGAUGUCAGUGGGAGCGGCUCACGCUCAGUCGGUGGGCGACACGAGUCCACGGAAUCGGAGGCCGGGAAGAAGCCGGGCUGGAAUCUGAGCAGGAGAGGAUGGGGACGGCCACGUGUUUCCCAGAUGGCAGCAACUUCUGCGGUCUCCCCAGCUCUCUUUACAACGUGAAGCUGUCGCUCCUGCUGUCGGGGGGUGGGGUCCAUGUCCCCGCCUCAGCCACCACUGUGGCUGCGCUGGAAGCGACACUGUGUGACCUCUGAGGCUGUGACCGAGGGUGACACAGCUUCCCCCUGGCCCUCCUGGGACACUUUCUUGGAGCCGCCAGGCUGUGAGGCUGCAGCUGGAGGCCACGGCCACUGAGGCCCCCGCUGACCACCAGCAUCCACGUGAGCUGCAGGACGUGCGCGAGCAGACGCUGGGAGGACCGUGGCCCCAGCCCCGUGUGACUGCGACUGCAUCACAGACCCUGUGGGGGGACCCGUGCAGCCGCACGCCGCCAGGACCACGACGUGACGAUAAACCGUCGCGGUUGUUUUACGCCGCUGUUCGAGGCACCUUGUUUACCAACCACAGACCCCUGGAGAGGGGGCCGGGGGGCCGCAUGGCCUGGCCACUCGCUCAGUGCCUGAUGAUGCUGGUCUGUCUGAGAGAGAAAGGAGAGGCCGUGCCGAGUCUCCGGGCCCCCUGGGCUGCCCGCAGCCCUGUGCCCGCUGGCAGGAGCCGGCCCGCCACACCGCUGGGCACCUGCCGUGAGUCUCCCAGGACGACGUGGCAGCCGCACCGGCUGUGGGGACAGAGCUGUUUCAGGAGCUCAGGCCCGGCUGCUCUCACUGAGUGGAACUUGUCACCUUCUGAGGGGGCAGGCAGGGGCGGGGGGAUUAAAUCUUUGAAGGUGAACUUGCCAAAUGCCUGCGUGACAGGCCCCUCUUCUUUCGCUGAGCCCAGAGGAGGCCAAAUUGCAACGGCCCCCCAUUUCUCAGCCCCGUCCAGCCCUCAGCCCCCUCGCUCAGGUCCUGCGGGACCUCCAGGGUCCAUUCGGACCAGCUGCCCCGGGCAGGCCACCUCGGAGAGAAGGGAGAGGGUGCCGAUGCCAACUGUACCCGGGGGCGUCUAGGCGGGUCAGGAGCUCAUGCAGAGAACUGCAUCCUUUGAAGGUACAGGGGACCGGCCACUCAGGACCUCACCUGCCCUGUGGCCCCCGGGCCUCACCCCGCAGCUCUGCCCGUGCCCUGUGGCCGCGUGGGGACAGACCCCACCUUCUCCCUGCCUCACCUACGAUGGGCUCCAGUCUCUAAGUCAAACACUCGUUUUCUCUUUACGCAAAUAAGCUGACUUACAGAGGGCGGCUUAGAUCCCCCAUCACUGCAAAGCCGACAGCGCCUGCUGUAAACAGAAGGUGACCGUGACAAUAAACACAGGACGCAAAGGCCGUCCCACAGCCUGGCUGCAGUCCCGCUGCCUGCUGAGCUCUGAGGCCGAGGCCCUGUCUGCUGCACUGAGGAGGUCGCGGAGCCGGCGGGGGUCGGAGACUGUCUCCUUGACAUCGGCAGGAGAACGGGAGGAAAAAGGGAGGGAUUUCCUGCUGCUCAGGGUGACUUCACGCUGUGUCUGCCUCCACCGGGGCCUCCCGCCAGGCGGGAAAGAUCCUAAAAGAUGAAGAUGGUGGAUGCUCGAGCAGAGCCUGAGGCCACUUCGAGAGCUCCCCUACUCCGUCUCUCCUAAUCCUCCACAGCCCCACCACGUGCCGUCAUCACCAGCACAAGGGACCCAGAGAGGUUAAGUGACUUACAGAAGGUCACACAGCCAGUGAGUGGGGAAGCCGGGAUUUGAACCCAGACCUGCAGCUCAAGCCUAUGCUCCUAGCAGCCCAGCACGCCAGCUUUGAAGCACUGGUCUACACCUAUCGGGUCUGUGGAUAAUUGUCCGGGGUCUCUGUACUGGAGCUGAGGGGACAGCCGGCGGAGAGUCCCACGGUGGGAGCCAGCUUGGGUGCCCAAAACAGCCAGGGGACUUGGGGCUCCUGGGCCAGGGGAGGGGGCCGGAGAGGGUCAGGCGGGGGGAGAUGAGGGGUCUGGGGAAGAGACCCCAGGGGUUGUGGGGUGGGUGCAGUGGGGUGUGAGAUGACAGUGACCCCUGUGCAGGAAGCCCCCUGGGCCCAGCCGCCCCCGAGGGCUGUGCUGAGUGUGAGGAGCCCCAGGGGGAGUCCCACUCACAGCCUUGGAGAUGGAGGCGCGCGAGGAAACCGCCGCCUGGGCCCGCACCCUGCUGGGUGUCCUCAUACAUCCGUCUGUCCCUCUGUCCUUCGGAGAGCAAGCGGAGGAGACGCCCCCAGCCUCAUGGGCCCGACCCCGUGGCUCUGGGGCCCUGGGCUGGCCGAGCGGUGGCUCUCCCUCCGCCAUGGGCGCUGGAGGAAAGUCCCCGCUGACCCCCCUGUGGGUGCCCCUGACCAUCGGCCUUGACGCCCCCGGGCUCAGUCACCCCCGACAAGUGACAUUUAUUUCUUCCCUCACUCGGAGCAGCGAGAAUUAAUUAUUGAGCGCGAGGAAGCACUUUGAACAUGAAAAGUGCUGAGGGUGACGGUGACAUUACAGAGACUGAGGCUCUGAUCUCUGCUCGGCCGAGCGCCCCUCCCCGGUCCCCUGGAGGACGGAGUGGAAGACCCCGUGUGGGGAGGAUGCUCUGGCUCA